CCUUCUUGCUUGCUGCUGCUUCUUCGUCUUUCAACAUUCUAAAAUGGAAGCCUGCGAUCCAAGCAAUUAAUUACUCUUUCAGAAAGUCUGUUCUUAAUUAUCAUUAGUUUUGUAUUUCGCAAAGGGAAAGUGGAAAAGAAUUUAUAAGAAAAGACAAGCAACUUUUGCUUUGAUCAUCUCCUUUUUACCUAGCCCAUAGACUUUUCUUUAAAGGGAAAUCAUUUCCUUUUAAUCCAAGCUUUUUCUACAUUUUCUUAUUCCUUUUGGUCAUCCAAUCUGACCUACUCUUAUUAAUUUCGGAGAAGUAGAUAUAAAGUCGGCGACUAAUCUCAAAAAGACUUGGGAGGUGGACUUCGGCUUGUUUUCCUCACGCCGCUGCGGAGUUUCUUUCUUCCUUAUCUCUCGCCAUACCCUUCAAUUGAUAGGCAUUGUCGUCUCCCGUCUUUUCUUGGCAUCUGCGGUGGAUCUGAUUGCGACGAAUCUGCGCGAAUCUGAUCCCCUGUGAGGCGGCGAAUCUGAUUCCCUGUGAGGCGGCGAAUCUGCGUGAAUUCGGAGGAGAUUUAUAGAUUUGGAGGUGGGGUUGAUGGGUGGGCGAAGCUCAAGAGAGGCAAGCCCGCGGAGUAGGUACGGGUCGGCAGGCUCGUUCGGAGACCGGAGCUACUCGCAGGAUCAGUAUUGGGGCCAGAGAUAUCCCUAUGAAGCGCCCGGGUAUCAGAAUUACCCUCCUCCGUCCCAAAGGUAUGGCGAGCCGGUGCAGGCCUACCCGCAGACGCCGCCGCCGCCGCCGCAGACGCCGCCUGCCGGUGGGUCGCGACGGAGGCUGGAUCGGAGGUACUCGAAGAUAACCGACGAUUACAAUUCUGUGGAGCAGGUCACUGAGGCUCUUGCACAAGCUGGUCUGGAGUCUUCAAAUCUGAUUGUUGGUAUUGAUUUCACAAAGAGCAAUGAGUGGACAGGUAAAUUGUCAUUCCAUGGACGAAGCUUGCAUCACAUUGGUGAUAUUCCAAAUCCCUAUGAACAAGCAAUCUCUAUCAUCGGACAAACGUUGUCAGCAUUUGAUGAAGAUAACUUGAUCCCAUGUUAUGGGUUUGGAGAUGCAUCAACACAUGAUCAGGAUGUCUUUAGUUUCUAUCCUGAUGAGAGAUCAUGCAAUGGUUUUACAGAGGCCCUAGCACGAUACAGAGAGCUAGUCCCAUGUCUACGGUUGGCUGGUCCAACCUCAUUUGCUCCUAUUAUUGAAAUGGCUACGACCAUUGUGGAACAGAAUGGUGGACAAUACCACGUUUUACUGAUAAUUGCUGAUGGGCAGGUUACAAGGAGCGUAGAUACUGAAUUUGGACAAUUGAGCUCUCAGGAGCAAAACACUGUUGAUGCGAUUGUAAAAGCUAGUGAAUUUCCAUUGUCUAUUGUUCUAGUCGGAGUUGGAGAUGGCCCUUGGGACAUGAUGAAGGAAUUCGAUGAUAACAUUCCUGCUCGAUCCUUUGAUAAUUUCCAGUUUGUAAAUUUUACGGAGAUAAUGUCAAAGAACAUGCCCCAAACCAGAAAAGAGGCAGCAUUUGCUCUUGCAGCGUUGAUGGAAAUACCUGCACAAUAUAAAGCAACAUUAGAACUGGGAAUCUUAGGUCGUUGUUCAGCUAAGUCUCCGGAGAGGGUUCCUCUUCCCCCACCUAUUGGAGGUUACACUACAUCUUCCUCUGGUUCUAAAACUUUCCAAAAGACCAGUUUCCAGAAGAGAAUACCACCUUAUUCUGGAUAUGAUACUACACCUAGGACAGCUCCUACUGCGCCAAGUGCCUCAACGGACAAUCAGCUUUGCCCUAUUUGUUUUACAAACCCGAAGGACAUGGCUUUUGGUUGUGGGCACCAGACAUGCUGUGAUUGUGGCCAGAGCCUUGAGUUGUGUCCCAUCUGCCGAAGUCAAAUUCAUACUAGAAUAAAGCUUUAUUAGUGUGAUCAGCAUUUACGAGGGGUGCAAUGGAUGUGGUCAGUAUCUAUGGCAAUUUAUGCGGCUGCUGCAGCUUCUAAUGAGCAAUGUUUGAAGCUUCAUGAACACUAUUUGGGGUUCUCGGAUCCAAUUGGCUGUGUUUCAAUUAGUUGAAGUUAUGGUUCAUUGUGUUGGGCUGUCUAUAUUGUAAGAAGAUGCUUUUGUGACAUGUUGGCUGGGAUUCAAUUCUCUAGUUGAUUAAGACAAGGGCAACUCUGAUGAGUUUAGCUGGGUGCUGUAUAGUUGCUAACAAUUCAUUUUCUGUGGAUGUUUUCUUUAAGUUUUGAGAAGGCAUACUUGCUUGAAAGACUCAUCUAGUCAUGCUUCUUCCUGCGCUUACCAUAUUUGCAGAUCAUGGAGGACAUACUGGAACUACAAUGAGCCUUAUCUGACCUAAGCUAGUUCAAGCUGGGAUAUAACGAGUUCGCACUUCAGAUCUCUCCUGGAGGUUUCAGAGCUCGAUCGAGCUCCAUUUCCUAGCCUUCAUCUGUCAUGUGGGUUUGUAGAUGGUUCUGUUGGUAUUUUUCAGUCAUUUUAAAAUCAGUGUCAAUGAGAACAGGUGUUCGAAGAAGAUAUGGAAGUAAUAAAGAUUCAUAUUUCAUUUCAUACAACCUUUUGUAUCACACAUUCAUCAAACCAUUAUUUGAAUAGAUAU
Phoenix dactylifera (date palm) is the source of this 2639-nucleotide non-coding RNA. The record is from RefSeq and is a predicted model, not a curated record. NCBI's taxonomy places the organism in Eukaryota, Viridiplantae, Streptophyta, Magnoliopsida, Arecales, Arecaceae.